Molecule: ribosomal RNA, 1031 nt
Filed under: Lacticaseibacillus rhamnosus
Lineage: Bacteria; Bacillati; Bacillota; Bacilli; Lactobacillales; Lactobacillaceae
Description: bacterial SSU rRNA
Rfam family: Bacterial small subunit ribosomal RNA
Source: RNAcentral
UGCUAAUACAUGCAAGUCGAACGAGUUCUGAUUAUUGAAAGGUGCUUGCAUCUUGAUUUAAUUUUGAACGAGUGGCGGACGGGUGAGUAACACGUGGGUAACCUGCCCUUAAGUGGGGGAUAACAUUUGGAAACAGAUGCUAAUACCGCAUAAAUCCAAGAACCGCAUGGUUCUUGGCUGAAAGAUGGCGUAAGCUAUCGCUUUUGGAUGGACCCGCGGCGUAUUAGCUAGUUGGUGAGGUAACGGCUCACCAAGGCAAUGAUACGUAGCCGAACUGAGAGGUUGAUCGGCCACAUUGGGACUGAGACACGGCCCAAACUCCUACGGGAGGCAGCAGUAGGGAAUCUUCCACAAUGGACGCAAGUCUGAUGGAGCAACGCCGCGUGAGUGAAGAAGGCUUUCGGGUCGUAAAACUCUGUUGUUGGAGAAGAAUGGUCGGCAGAGUAACUGUUGUCGGCGUGACGGUAUCCAACCAGAAAGCCACGGCUAACUACGUGCCAGCAGCCGCGGUAAUACGUAGGUGGCAAGCGUUAUCCGGAUUUAUUGGGCGUAAAGCGAGCGCAGGCGGUUUUUUAAGUCUGAUGUGAAAGCCCUCGGCUUAACCGAGGAAGUGCAUCGGAAACUGGGAAACUUGAGUGCAGAAGAGGACAGUGGAACUCCAUGUGUAGCGGUGAAAUGCGUAGAUAUAUGGAAGAACACCAGUGGCGAAGGCGGCUGUCUGGUCUGUAACUGACGCUGAGGCUCGAAAGCAUGGGUAGCGAACAGGAUUAGAUACCCUGGUAGUCCAUGCCGUAAACGAUGAAUGCUAGGUGUUGGAGGGUUUCCGCCCUUCAGUGCCGCAGCUAACGCAUUAAGCAUUCCGCCUGGGGAGUACGACCGCAAGGUUGAAACUCAAAGGAAUUGACGGGGGCCCGCACAAGCGGUGGAGCAUGUGGUUUAAUUCGAAGCAACGCGAAGAACCUUACCAGGUCUUGACAUCUUUUGAUCACCUGAGAGAUCAGGUUUCCCCUUCGGGGGCAAAUGACAGGUGG